RNAcentral lists this ribosomal RNA (423 nucleotides) under Triticum aestivum (bread wheat). RNAcentral describes it as "partial small subunit ribosomal RNA". Lineage: Eukaryota; Viridiplantae; Streptophyta; Magnoliopsida; Poales; Poaceae. The record is from RNAcentral.
AUGGAGAGACUUGUUAAUGUUCAUUACAUGGACAAGGAGAAAUUCUUGAGUAACAAUGCCGACACGGGUGAGGAACCAUUGGUUUUUGAUGCAAGCCCUAGCUAUGAGGAUGUUGUUGCAAAAGUGAGACAAGCCUUAAAGUGGAUGGACACCAAUGUUGAUGUUAAGUUAAUAGGAAGGUAUGAUGUUGGAGUUGGAGCCAAAUCUCGCUUGAAAAGUAUGCCUAUCACCUCGGAUUUGCAUUGGGAUGUAUACAAGGAAAAAGUUUCCCAAUCGGAAGACAAGUCACUUGAAUUGUUUGCCACCAAGGUUGAAUCUCCUCGGUUUACACUUGAUUUGAACCGGCAUGUCUCUUCCCCAAUGGAUGACAUGAGCGUUGAGUUGUAUGCCCCCAAUGCUUCUAGCCAACCACCAACUAGCCAA